AACGAACGCUGGCGGCAGGCUUAACACAUGCAAGUCGAGCGCCCCGCAAGGGGAGCGGCGGACGGGUGAGUAACGCGUGGGAACGUACCUUUUGGUUCGGAACAACUUCGGGAAACUGGAGCUAAUACCGGAUAAGCCCUAACGGGGAAAGAUUUAUCGCCGAAAGAUCGGCCCGCGUCUGAUUAGCUAGUUGGUCUGGUAACGGCUCACCAAGGCGACGAUCAGUAGCUGGUCUGAGAGGAGGAUCAGCCACUCUGGGACUGAGACACAGCCCAGACUCCUACGGGCGGCAGCAGAGGGGAAUAUUGGACAAUAGGGGCAAGACUGAUCCAGCCAGGCCGCGUAAGUGAUGUAGGCCUUAGGGUUGUAAAGCUCUUUUGUCCGGGAAGAUAAUGACUGUACCGGAAGAAUAAGCCCCGGCUAACUUCGUG
This 431-nucleotide ribosomal RNA is filed under the name uncultured bacterium. RNAcentral describes it as "partial 16S ribosomal RNA". It matches the Rfam family "Bacterial small subunit ribosomal RNA", at positions 29 to 507 of the family's 1533-position model. The record is from RNAcentral.